UAAUACGAGGGGAGCAAGCGUUGUCCGGAUUUAUUGGGCGUAAAGAGCUCGUAGGUGGGUUUACAAGUGAAAAUUGAAAUACAAUGGCUUAACCAUUGACACGGUUUUCAUACUGUAAAUCUUGAGUUAUGUAGAGGUAAGUGGAAUUUCUGGUGUAGCGGUGAAAUGCGUAGAUAUCAGAAGGAACACCAAAGGCGAAGGCAACUUACUGGACAUAAACUGACACUGAGGAGCGAAAGCGUGGGUAGCAAACAGGAUUAGAGACCCUGGUAGUCCACGCCGUAAACUAUGAGUACUUGGUGAUGGGAGAUUCGACCCUUUCAUUGCCGGAGUUAACGCAUUAAGUACUCCGCCUGGGGACUACGACCGCAAGGUUG
RNAcentral lists this ribosomal RNA (377 nucleotides) under uncultured bacterium. Its description in RNAcentral is "bacterial SSU rRNA". It matches the Rfam family "Bacterial small subunit ribosomal RNA", at positions 521 to 896 of the family's 1533-position model. The record is from RNAcentral.